RNAcentral lists this ribosomal RNA (465 nucleotides) under Vreelandella stevensii. Its description in RNAcentral is "partial 16S ribosomal RNA". It matches the Rfam family "Bacterial small subunit ribosomal RNA", at positions 338 to 795 of the family's 1533-position model. The record is from RNAcentral. Lineage: Bacteria; Pseudomonadati; Pseudomonadota; Gammaproteobacteria; Oceanospirillales; Halomonadaceae.
CCUACGGGGGGCUGCAGUGGGGAAUAUUGGACAAUGGGGGGAACCCUGAUCCAGCCAUGCCGCGUGUGUGAAGAAGGCCCUCGGGUUGUAAAGCACUUUCAGUGAGGAAGAACGCCUGGUGGUUAAUACCCAUCAGGAAAGACAUCACUCACAGAAGAAGCACCGGCUAACUCCGUUCCAGCAGCCGCGGUAAUACGGAGGGUGCGAGCGUUAAUCGGAAUUACUGGGCGUAAAGCGCGCGUAGGUGGCUUGAUAAGCCGGUUGUGAAAGCCCCGGGCUCAACCUGGGAACGGCAUCCGGAACUGUCAAGCUAGAGUGCAGGAGAGGAAGGUAGAAUUCCCGGUGUAGCGGUGAAAUGCGUAGAGAUCGGGAAGAAUACCAGUGGCGAAGGCGGCCUUCUGGACUGACACUGACACUGAGGUGCGAAAGCGUGGGUAGCAAACAGGAUUAGAUACCCUGGUAGUC